This 461-nucleotide ribosomal RNA is filed under the name Hypericum montanum. RNAcentral describes it as "eukaryotic LSU rRNA". The stretch from base 321 to 461 matches the Rfam family "Eukaryotic large subunit ribosomal RNA", at positions 1 to 141 of the family's 3401-position model. Lineage: Eukaryota; Viridiplantae; Streptophyta; Magnoliopsida; Malpighiales; Hypericaceae. The record is from RNAcentral.
UGCAGAAUCCCGUGAACCAUCGAGUCUUUGAACGCAAGUUGCGCCCGAAGCCUUCUGGCCGAGGGCACGCCUGCCUGGGUGUCACACAUCGUCGCCCCCCAAAAUUCCGAUAUCUCGCCAGAGACAAUCGGGAAGAGGAUGGGCGGAAAAUGGUCUCCCGUGCGCUCCCGUUCGCGGUUGGCCCAAAAAUGUGUUCCUGGCAAAGCAAAGCCACGACCAGCGGUGGUUGUAAGACCCUCGGUACAAGUCGUGAGCCUUGCAUUGCUCAUAGGGACAUGUUGACCCUGAACGUGAUCGAGUAACAUCGAACACUCACAAAGUGACCCCAGGUCAGGCGGGACUACCCGCUGAAUUUAAGCAUAUCAAUAAGCGGAGGAAAAGAAACUAACAAGGAUUCCCCUAGUAACGGCGAGCGAACCGGGAAAUGCCCAGCUUGAAAAUCGGAUGCCCCAGGCGUUCGA